RNAcentral lists this ribosomal RNA (485 nucleotides) under uncultured bacterium. RNAcentral's name for it is "partial 16S ribosomal RNA". It matches the Rfam family "Bacterial small subunit ribosomal RNA", at positions 30 to 507 of the family's 1533-position model. The record is from RNAcentral.
AUUGAACGCUGGCGGCAUGCCUUACGCAUGCAAGUCGAACGGCAGCACGGGUGCUUGCCCCUGCUGGCGAGUGGCGCACGGGUGAGUAAUACAUCGGAACAUGUCCUGUAUUGGGGGGUAGCCCGUCGAAAGCCGGAGUAAUACCGCAUACGAACUACGUAUGACAGCGGGGGCCCUUCGGGCCUCGCGCUUUAGGGUUGGCUGAUGGCUGAUUCGCUGUUUGGUGGGGUAAAGGCCUACCAAGGCGACGCUCAGUAGCCGGUCUGUGAGGAGGACCAGCACAACUGGGACUGAGAACCGGCCCAGACUCCUACGGGAGGCAGAGGUGGGGAAUUUUGGCCAAUGGGCGAAAGCUUGAGGCAGCAAGGCCGCGUGUGUGAAGAAGGCCUUCGGGUUGUAAGCACUUUUGUCCGGUAAGAAAUACUUGGCCCUAAUACGGUCGGGGGAUGACGGUACCGGAAGAAUAAGCACCGGCUAACUACGUG